UGGGGAAUCUUGCACAAUGGGGGAAACCCUGAUGCAGCGACGCCGCGUGAGCGAUGAAGCCCUUCGGGGUGUAAAGCUCUUUCGGCGGGAACGAAUUAUGACGGUACCCGCAGAAGAAGCUGCGGCUAACUACGUGCCAGCAGCCGCGGUAAUACGUAGGCAGCAAGCGUUGUUCGGAGUUACUGGGCGUAAAGAGUAUGUAGGCGGUCCUGCAAGUUUGGUGUGAAAUCUCCCGGCUUAACUGGGAGGGUGCGCCGAAAACUGCCGGGCUAGAGUGCGGGAGAGGAGAGCGGAAUUCCUGGUGUAGCGGUGAAAUGCGUAGAUAUCAGGAGGAACACCGGCGGUGUAGACGGCUCUCUGGACCGUGACUGACGCUGAGAUACGAAAGCGUGGGGAGCAAACAGG
This 405-nucleotide ribosomal RNA is filed under the name uncultured Candidatus Solibacter sp. RNAcentral describes it as "bacterial SSU rRNA". It matches the Rfam family "Bacterial small subunit ribosomal RNA", at positions 355 to 776 of the family's 1533-position model. Lineage: Bacteria; Pseudomonadati; Acidobacteriota; Terriglobia; Bryobacterales; Solibacteraceae. The record is from RNAcentral.